Molecule: long non-coding RNA, 2468 nt
Organism: Vespula pensylvanica (western yellowjacket)
Lineage: Eukaryota; Metazoa; Arthropoda; Insecta; Hymenoptera; Vespidae
Exons: 3
Source: RefSeq, a predicted model, not a curated record
AGAAUAUCAUAGUCAAGCCAUAUGAUACAACGAACGUAAUCUAAAUGUUAUCAAAAAAACUGUGUACCUACCUUCUUCCAUAUAGUAUCAAUGGAUGACAAGCUUCUUCAAAACUUUUCUUCAAGCGAUUGGGAUUGAUUUGGAGAAGUAGAAAUGACAGAAGUACCGAUAAAAGAGUGCAAACAAGAAAUAGCCUUUGAGAACAUGAACAAUCUCACACUCAUUCAGAAAUUUUACUAUGGUGAAAGUAUAUUCAUGAUCAAAUGAACAGGAUUUAUUGGAAAAUUCUUGAUCGAGAAAUCAUUGAGAACAGAUCCUGAUACAAGUCACAUUUAUCUUUUAAUACUUCCAAAAAAAGAGGAGAAUGAUUUAACACAGUGAACUGAUUGAAAAUUUACUUGACUUGGCUUUAUUUGAUCAAAAAUGUCCGUCUAAUAUAGCCGAAAUUUGCGAAAUGUCGAGACGAAAGAUGCGAACUUCGAUUUUAAUUUCGUACGUAUUUAUACGAGUACCUAUACGUAAUUUUUUUUUCAAACGAAACUUCUCUAAUGCGAUUAAGCUUCCAAGUAAAACAAAAAUGAAAUGAAAGAAAAAAGUAAAUAUGAAAAAGUAUAGUGUAAAUAAGAUGAGAGAAAGUAAGAUAGAGAGAAGUAGCAAAUCAAUAAAUAUUUUGAUUAGUAUUUGUAAUAAAAUAUCAUAAUAAAAUAUAUAAUAAAUAAUCAAAUAUUAUGUUCGUAUUGCGUCGAGAUUUAUUGUAAAUGUUCAUCUACCUAUUUAACAUAAUAAUAAAUUAUUACAUUUACAAUUAUUUUAAUUAAAAUUCUUAUAGUUUUUGUAUUAAUCUGACCGUUUAAUACUGACCACUCAUAUUACGUAUUGAUAAUUUAUCAUUAACGAUGAUCAUUAAUUUAUUUAUAUUACCGAUUAAAAAUAUUGAGAAAUAUUGACCUAAUAAAUAGAAACUUUUAACUAAAUUAAUUUAAUCGAAAAAACUUCGUUUUUAUCGUGUGAUACACACAAUCGGUUGUAUUUUUUUUUCUUUUUUUAAAUGAAUACGCGUCUCAUUUUGUAAUAAUCUUCAUUUCGUUCUAGAAAUAUCAUAUAUUCCGUUUAAAUCGAAAAUGAUAUAAUAUCAUAGGUGAAUUCUUUUGGUAAUAUUAUUUAACGUGAAACCACAAGAUACUGAUACGAGCGAUGACUAAUAGCAUAAAUACUUGUAUAUAUCCUUGUCGCAUUAUUUGUGUCCUCAGAUAUAUCUGUAAGAAGAAUAGUUGUUUUGUGUAAAAAAAAAUAUUGGAAAUAUAGAGAGGUCAUAGAAAGUUACUUACCGAACGAAUGAUUAUCCAAAAUUUCAUUUAAUUCUUCGCAGCAACAAGAAGUACAUUGUUCUCAGGCUAUUAAAAUUGAUAGCUUAUAGUUUAGUUAUAAAUUAUUCGAUUAAGUUAGAACGUCGUACGUCGAAUUUGUGAUGUGCCAGAUACUUGGUAGGACAGAGAAGGAUGAUAUUGUACGAGAAUGUAUCUACGAUUAAAAUUUGUUCGAAACUUUGAAAUAUACCAUUCAUGCGUUAUUAAUGGCUGAACUAGCUUCAUAUAAUUUUGUGUGUAACAAAAGAAAAAAUCCUUUGCUUUUGAUUUCUGAAGAAAAAAAAAAGGAAGGCUACGCUACAUGAAAAGGAUAUCUCAUCAACAUAUACUAAAAAUACAGAAUAAGUUUAAAACGUUCGAAGUAUUGUCUCUUAUGAGGGAUGAAAUCGACUAGAAAUAUAUCUUUAACUUAAGUUGAUUGACAAUUCGUUGGAAGAUUAUAAGCCUCAAGAAAGAAAAAGAUAACGAAGGAAUAAUUACAUUAUUCCAAGAGAUUAUGAAGUUAAAGUAAUUAACUUAUGUAACCAGAGAAUGGUCAUGGUUGCAUGGAUUUCAAUAAUCUUCUGAGAAGGACAAAAAUAAAAUGGAGUAUUCCAUGAGAAUUAUGGAAGAAAAGAAUCAUGGAGAAUUUAUGGAAGAUUUGGCAUUAUGUAUAGAACGUAUUAAAAAUGACAAAUGGAUUACAUUAUCCAACCAAUAAUUGAUAGUUCCUAUGUUAGAAUUGAGAAUACUCGAUCAUAUUAUUAACAAGUAAAAGACAGGAAACUUUCGGCAAUAUUCUUUGUCUGUUGUAAGUCAAUUUCAAAAUUUUAAUUUAACAAUUCUUCGCUUUAUCGAUAUAGUUUCCAACUAUUCGAAUGAAAACGUCGAAUACAUCAAGAAAAAAAAAUUAACAAAACACGUAUUCCAAAUAACGAGGACGAGUGAAACGUUGAUUUGUGAGAGAAAUUCUCCGAUCAAAAUUCAUGCUCUUGUAUCUUAAGAAAAUUCGUUGGCUUGUGUGAGAAAUUUUCAAAUCAAAAUUCUAUAAAUAGUACAUCUUAUUUCAACUUUAUCAUUGAUAAAUGUAUUUGAAAGGUUUACGAAUAUUGAACAGAUAUU